AUGUGGAGAGACGGUGGACCGUAGAGCAUGCGUGCCAUUUGUGACGUAUGUGCUAUGGUCCACUCAUUCUCGGCAUCA
Molecule: microRNA precursor, 78 nt
Filed under: Eptesicus fuscus (big brown bat)
Lineage: Eukaryota; Metazoa; Chordata; Mammalia; Chiroptera; Vespertilionidae
Source: RNAcentral